ACAACAUCAUUUCAAAGGCAAAAGCAACAGGUACCAUCUCCACAGAAUUGGCAAAGGCAUUGAUGGAAGAUCAUCCCAGAAUACCUACUUUAUAUUUACUUCCUAAGUUACAUAAAAAUCAGACAAAACCUCCCGGACGUCCCAUCAUUUCUGAAAAUGACAUAUCUUUGUUUCGGGACAACUUGGGAUACAUACAGACGGACAUGUACAGGAAGCCUACUUCAACGAAUAUAUACCUGCAUGCUACUUCGUCACACCCCCAACAUAUUAUCAAUGCGAUCCCUACAGGACAAUACCUUCGAGCUAGGAGAAUCUGCUCAUCCGAAGUCUGAUUCAAGAACCAAGCAGAUGACCUUUGUCGCAGAUUUACAGAAAGGGGUUACAGUCAAUGGAACCUGAAGAGGGCCUAUAAAAGGGCCAUUGGAACAUCACGAAGGGAUCUUCUACAACCUAAGGUACCAGAACAUAUAAGAUCCGAAACUCCAUCAAUUGUAACACAAAAGCCAUCAUCUACUAUGCCACAUGUCCCUGCCACAAAAUCUACGUGGGAUAAACCACAAGAGCCUUAAAGGUACGAGUCAGAGAACACGUGCGGGAUAUCAAAUUAGCAGCAACAUCAGAUGACAUAGAAAGCCUUAAGUCUGUACCACGCCAUUUUUGAAAAUGUCAUAACAGUGACUCCACCCUCCUAAAAAUUAGAGGGAUUGAUCGUGUUGAUCUUGGAUUAAGAGGGGGCAAUAUAGGUUAAAUAUUGUCACAAAAAGAGAGCCAGUGGAUUUGGAUGCUGGAAACCCUUUCCCCCCCAAGGGUUGAAUGACAUAUUGCCUUUUGCCCCGAUCCCUUAUAUGCACUUUUUAGCAUGAUUUUGCACAAUUGAUUUGUUGUUUUUUUUGCACUAAU
Long non-coding RNA from Hyla sarda, 900 nucleotides. RefSeq lists it as uncharacterized. NCBI's taxonomy places the organism in Eukaryota, Metazoa, Chordata, Amphibia, Anura, Hylidae. The transcript is spliced from 3 exons. The record is from RefSeq and is a predicted model, not a curated record.